ACGGCGAUGAUGAUUGGCGCAGGGGUACCGACCUCGGCUGGAUAAUGGGGGCCGAGUGCAAGCGUCGCUGUGUAGCCUGCAUGUAGCAGGCGACGACGGACCGCUUGCAUGAGAACAGAGCCGCGAUCUGAGCCGC
This 136-nucleotide small nucleolar RNA is filed under the name Leptobrachium leishanense (Leishan spiny toad). RNAcentral's name for it is "Small nucleolar RNA SNORD94 (ENSLLEG00000005149.1)". It matches the Rfam family "Small nucleolar RNA SNORD94". From Rfam's summary of the family: The members of this family belong to the C/D class of snoRNAs which contain the C (UGAUGA) and D (CUGA) box motifs. Most of the members of the box C/D family function in directing site-specific 2'-O-methylation of substrate RNAs. The record is from Rfam by way of RNAcentral. Lineage: Eukaryota; Metazoa; Chordata; Amphibia; Anura; Megophryidae.